This 305-nucleotide unclassified non-coding RNA is filed under the name Hevea brasiliensis (rubber tree). Lineage: Eukaryota; Viridiplantae; Streptophyta; Magnoliopsida; Malpighiales; Euphorbiaceae. The record is from RNAcentral.
UUUGAUUUGAUUUGUGUGUGUGUCUGGUCCCUGAGAAAUGGAGGAAAGCAAAGGAAUUUAUUAUUUUUUCUUUGUGUCUUCAUUUUAAUUGUUGAAUGGAGUUGAGAACUGUACAAAAGGCAUGAAUUUCAACGCAAUUGAGAAUAUAAUCUUGUAGGGAUUAGUGGCUCCCUCUUUCUUUUUCUUUUUCCAUCUUCCCUCGUUUGGGCUCGCGUUUUGUUUCACUUAAUGAAAAUUAUUUUUCUGUUGUCAAUUUUCUCGGAAAUGUGUAUUUCUCUCUGUGUGUUUAUGUUUGUGUACAUCCG